RNAcentral lists this long non-coding RNA (419 nucleotides) under Manihot esculenta (cassava). Its description in RNAcentral is "long non-coding RNA (MESC_LNC004966)". The record is from RNAcentral. Lineage: Eukaryota; Viridiplantae; Streptophyta; Magnoliopsida; Malpighiales; Euphorbiaceae.
UUUGGUAUUGUCUCUAACAGAAGUUAUCCGUUAGUGAAUUAUAAACACAAAACGAAUUCGUCUCCUCACCUGCGUUCGGAAAUUGCAGAAUGUGUAAAAUCCCUAGCUGAAAUCCCCUUCUCCUUUUCCAUUUCUGAAAUCCCCCUUAGUGUGCAAUCCUUCGCUGCCAGCGCUAUCACCGGUGAACAACAUCACCACCAUCACUGCCAUCACCAACAUCACCAGUCAACUGCAUCACCGCCAUCACCGCCAUCACCAACAUCACCGGUCAACUGUGAAGCCCCUGUAUUAUGGAUUUCAGCAAUUAACAAGGUAAUUAGGCUCUUUCAUUAUCAUCUUCCAUUAUUCAGUAGUUGUUGAUUGAGUUACUGGAGUUCUGUGGGAUUGGAGACAAUGAAUUGUGUAAAUUUUUGUUCUAU